This 411-nucleotide ribosomal RNA is filed under the name Triticum aestivum (bread wheat). RNAcentral's name for it is "partial small subunit ribosomal RNA". The record is from RNAcentral. Lineage: Eukaryota; Viridiplantae; Streptophyta; Magnoliopsida; Poales; Poaceae.
AUGAUUGCUGGUGAAAACCGCAUCGAUUUUUGUCAUGCCAGUGUCUUAGACGUCAUUUCCUUGUUGAAGCCAUCAUCGUCACCUCGCUUCGGCUGCUCCGGAGCAAACCCUAGAUUUAGGUCUCCCGGACUUGAUGAUGAUGGCACCUUUGAUGUUGUUCUACCUCCCGAAGCAUUGUUUUGGAGCAGGUACUUGCUGGAGAGGCCAGGAGGUGGAGCGGUGUUGCAUCGACCAUAUCGACGGCGGCGGGUCUCGGUGAUGGGUGCGCACAGAAUGGUGGCAUUGUCUAGCGUCAUGGUGGCGUCAACAACAGUUGGGUCUGGCAAGGUCAAUCUGUUGAUCCCUCUGAAGAUGGGACGGCGGAAGAUGGCGGCGGCGGAUUCUAGAGUGUGCGCAUAUGGUGCAUGUUGA